GUGCCAGCCGCCGCGGUAAUACGUAGGGUGCGAGCGUUAAUCGGAAUUACUGGGCGUAAAGCGUGCGCAGGCGGUUCGCUAAGACAGAUGUGAAAUCCCCGGGCUUAACCUGGGAACUGCGUUUGUGACUGGCGGGCUGGAGUGCGGCAGAGGGAGGUGGAAUUCCACGUGUAGCAGUGAAAUGCGUAGAGAUGUGGAGGAACACCGAUGGCGAAGGCAGCCUCCUGGGCUAGCACUGACGCUCAUGCACGAAAGCGUGGGGAGCAAACAGGAUUAGAAACCCUGGUAGUCC
This 292-nucleotide ribosomal RNA is filed under the name uncultured bacterium. RNAcentral describes it as "partial 16S ribosomal RNA". It matches the Rfam family "Bacterial small subunit ribosomal RNA", at positions 505 to 796 of the family's 1533-position model. The record is from RNAcentral.